AACUCGACUACAUGAAGCUGGAAUCGCUAGUAAUCGCGAAUCAGCAUGUCGCGGUGAAUACGUUCCCGGGUCUUGUACACACCGCCCGUCACACCAUGGGAGUUGGUAACGCCCGAAGCCAGUGACCCAACCGGAAACGGAGGGAGCUGUCGAAGGUGGGACCGAUAACUGGGGUGAAGUCGUAACAAGGUAUC
This 194-nucleotide ribosomal RNA is filed under the name uncultured bacterium. RNAcentral's name for it is "partial 16S ribosomal RNA". It matches the Rfam family "Bacterial small subunit ribosomal RNA", at positions 1309 to 1500 of the family's 1533-position model. The record is from RNAcentral.